RNAcentral lists this ribosomal RNA (817 nucleotides) under uncultured Bacteroidota bacterium. RNAcentral's name for it is "bacterial SSU rRNA". It matches the Rfam family "Bacterial small subunit ribosomal RNA", at positions 68 to 880 of the family's 1533-position model. The record is from RNAcentral. Lineage: Bacteria; Pseudomonadati; Bacteroidota.
GGUAACGGAAAAAGCUUGCUUUUUUGCUGACGAGUGGCGCACGGGUGCGUAACGCGUAUACAAUCUACCUUUUACAGGGGGAUAGCCUUUAGAAAUGAAGAUUAAUACCCCAUAGUAAGUAAUUUUCGCAUGGAAGAUACUUUAAAGUUUCGGCGGUAAAAGAUGAGUAUGCGUUCUAUUAGCUAGAUGGUGUGGUAACGGCACACCAUGGCGACGAUAGAUAGGGGCCCUGAGAGGGGGAUCCCCCACACUGGUACUGAGACACGGACCAGACUCCUACGGGAGGCAGCAGUGAGGAAUAUUGGACAAUGGGCGAGAGCCUGAUCCAGCCAUGCCGCGUGCAGGAAGACUGCCCUAUGGGUUGUAAACUGCUUUUAUACGGGAAGAAACCCACCUACGUGUAGGUGGCUGACGGUACCGUAAGAAUAAGGAUCGGCUAACUCCGUGCCAGCAGCCGCGGUAAUACGGAGGAUCCAAGCGUUAUCCGGAAUCAUUGGGUUUAAAGGGUCCGUAGGUGGAUAAUUAAGUCAGAGGUGAAAUCCUGCAGCUCAACUGUAGAAUUGCCUUUGAUACUGGUUAUCUUGAAUUAUUGUGAAGUGGUUAGAAUAUGUAGUGUAGCGGUGAAAUGCAUAGAUAUUACAUAGAAUACCAAUUGCGAAGGCAGAUCACUAACAAUAUAUUGACACUGAUGGACGAAAGCGUGGGGAGCGAACAGGAUUAGAUACCCUGGUAGUCCACGCCGUAAACGAUGGUCACUAGCUGUUCGAACUUCCGUUUGAGUGGCUAAACGAAAGUGAUAAGUGACCCACCUGGGGAG